GGCUGGUCCGAAGGUAGUGAGUUAUCUCACUUGAUUGUUCACAGUCAGUUACAGAUUGAACUCCUUGUUCUACUACUUUCCCCGCUCCUCACUACUGCACUUGACUAGUCUUAA
This 114-nucleotide Y RNA is filed under the name Prolemur simus (greater bamboo lemur). RNAcentral describes it as "Y RNA (ENSPSMG00000022582.1)". It matches the Rfam family "Y RNA". Rfam says of the family: Y RNAs are components of the Ro ribonucleoprotein particle (Ro RNP), in association with Ro60 and La proteins. Lineage: Eukaryota; Metazoa; Chordata; Mammalia; Primates; Lemuridae. The record is from Rfam by way of RNAcentral.